This 68-nucleotide transfer RNA is filed under the name Marmota monax (woodchuck). RNAcentral's name for it is "tRNA.Ala". The record is from RNAcentral. Lineage: Eukaryota; Metazoa; Chordata; Mammalia; Rodentia; Sciuridae.
GCUGUGGCUUAGUGGUAGUGCACUUGCCUGGCAUGUGUGAGACACUGGGUUUGAUUCUCAGCACCGCA